UUAGGAUUACUGAUUGUUUGGGGACAUCUGAAAUCACUCAGGAUUGUGGUGACCAGUUGAACAGAGAUAUGCCAAAAGCAAGCAGUGAUUUAUAUCCCUGCAGAAGGAGUCUCGCCCUGUCACCAGGCUGGAGUGUGAUGGCGCAAUCUCUGCUCACUGCAACUUCCACCUCCCGGGUUCAAGUGAUUCUCCUGCCUCAGCCUCCUAAGUGGCUGGGACUACAGGUGCCUGCCGCCACGCCUGGCUAAUUUUUUGUAUUUUAGUAGAGAGAGGGUUUAGGCUGGUCUCGAACUCCUGAGCUCAGGCAAUCUGCCCUCCUGAGCUCAGGCAAUCUGCCCUCCUGGGCCUCCCAAAGUGCUAGGAUUACAGGCAUGAGCCACCGCCCUCGGCCACUAUCUUAUUUUUUAGCAUAUCUGAAUUAAAAACAUAAAGCCUUCUCUAUGUAUGUUGAUGAUAAACUUUGGGUUUCAAGGAAAAGAGUCACUCAGGCAACUUCCAAGAAUGGGAGGGGAGAAGGUGUUAUUAUAGGAUACAGUGGAAAUAAAUCUGGGAGGAAUCUCAAUCAUGUUCCAAGAGCUUGCAGGGGCCCAGAGAAAUUCUCACAAUGAGGGCUCACAGGAAAAGCAAGAACACCGAGAGCAGGAAAGCUUGGAGGCUAAGAGUUCCCUUGGAAGUUGAACUACUGCCUGAGAAUAUUAAAACAAAAACAGAAACACGUAAAUAACCAGCCCUGAAACCAGCCUCUCAACUUCUGAUAGGUUAUAUCUACAUUUAUGUACUUUCCU
RNAcentral lists this long non-coding RNA (785 nucleotides) under Pongo abelii (Sumatran orangutan). Its description in RNAcentral is "lincRNA". The record is from RNAcentral. Lineage: Eukaryota; Metazoa; Chordata; Mammalia; Primates; Hominidae.